This is a long non-coding RNA of Manis javanica (Malayan pangolin), 1808 nucleotides long. RefSeq lists it as uncharacterized. NCBI's taxonomy places the organism in Eukaryota, Metazoa, Chordata, Mammalia, Pholidota, Manidae. The record is from RefSeq and is a predicted model, not a curated record.
AAUCAUCCAGGAGAUCCUUGUUUCCUGGGGGUGCUAGAAGAAGAUGCACAGAAGUGGAGUGUCCUGGCGAAUAAAAGCAGUGCCCUGAAGAUGCCUUUGUAGUAAAGUGUCAGGAUCUGCUGUAGGAGAGUCUUAAGCCAGACUCUUCUGAUGACACAGUCCACCGUGAAUGAGUAGACCCUGCCUGAGAGAAUACCAGGCUGCUUUCCCCUUGAAUGCAACUUGUUCCUAUGUGAUAUAGAAAACUUAAUAAACAUUGCAGUAGAAAGAUCUCUUUGGAUUCUCCAAUGAAGGGGAGUUCUUACUGCAGAGAUCCACAUGAUAAGUCAUGAGCCCAGCUUUGCUGAAGAGCACCAGUCAACAGGCUCCAAGCACAUAGAUCUUCCAGAAAAAGAAGCACCAAGCAAUAACUUGAGGACAUGCUCUACUAGGAGCAUCUGGACUGCGUCAAGUGGCGCCCGAACAGGGACCUGAAGGAGAGGGAGAAGGUGAGGGCCACCACGAGGCCUAUAGAGAAGAGAAAACCCUGGCCAGUGUAACCAGAGAAGAUGCACAAGAGAAGAGGCGCACAAGCAAUGUGGAUGUGGUAAGUGAAUUUUUCUGGGAGUUCAAUAUGGGACAGGCGGGGAGCAAACAGUUAUAUGUUUGCGGGCUAAAGAGGUUGUUAGCCACCAGAAGAAUUAAAGUAGGGAUUGCCCAAUUAGAAAGAUUUUUAGAUAUUAUUGAGAAAGUGUGCCUUUAGUUUCUGGAAGAAUGGACAGUAGACAUAGAAUUGUGGAAUGGGGUAGGAAAGUGACUUCAAUCUUAUUAUUCUACCCAUGGCCCAAAAAAGGUUCUGGUGGACACAUUUGGCCUGUGGACCUUAAUUAGAGACUGUUACAUGACUUAAGGCAAAUUAAUGUGGUUCUUAAACCUAUGUGACCUUUACAACAAGGCCUCCCUUUUCUAGCUAUGAUUCCAAAAGACUGGAAGAUGGCUAUCAUUGACCUUAAAGAUUGCUUUUUUACCUUGCUCUCCAUUCAAAGCAGUCAUCUUAGGCCUGAGUUACUUCCUCCUGUGUAAUGUAAAAAGAGCCUGUAAUUAAGCUGAACCCUCAGAUCAACAUGUAAAUAGGUCUAUUCUAUUAACUGUUUUCAUUAGAGGCAGUCAUCCUGGAGCUAAGAAUUUCCUCCUCAGCAGCCCCAGGGAAGCCAAAGAAGCUUGUGACUCAGAUCAGGGCUCUAGUAGUGAAAAGUCACACAGUCCCUGCAUUUAUCAGUAAGGCAGGGGCCUCUUGAGGAAUGACUAAAGCUCAGGCAGAAAAAACUAGGAAAACUAAGUGAGAGCAGUUAGAUCCCUAAACUCUAAAAAGAAGUAUCUUAUCUUCUGCACACAAACCUGGCCCCAUUACAAACUCUCUGAUUAGAGAGGCUUGGCCCCUGAAAGAAGUAUGCAAUAUAGUGUUAUGCAGCUAAAUAUAUUUUGCCACAAGGGAAGAAAAUAGUCAAAAGUUCCAUGAACUACUACAAUAUGGAGCUAGUUUUCUAAAUUCUUUUUAGUGAAUGUCUAUUCUACUUAUUAAGUUCAUCAUUAUCUUCGAGAAUUGAGAAGUCUUAAACUAAACUCCCUGAGAUAGAAGAAAUUUAUCUUCUGCAAUACAGCCUGGCUUUAAAUGACUAGAGCUAGAAUUGUACUUGCAUUUCAUUUCCAGCACCCUGGACACACAGUCCCUAUUGGUUCAGAGCCUUCAUCUGCCCUGUUAGUCUAGGGCCAUCUAAACCUUAACCCGGUUAUGUAAACUUCUUGCUCUUAGAGUGUAUUCUUGAAAA